Molecule: ribosomal RNA, 501 nt
Filed under: uncultured bacterium
Lineage: Bacteria
Description: bacterial SSU rRNA
Rfam family: Bacterial small subunit ribosomal RNA
Source: RNAcentral
GCUGACGAGUGGCGGACGGGUGAGUAAUGUCUGGGAAACUGCCUGAUGGAGGGGGAUAACUACUGGAAACGGUAGCUAAUACCGCAUAACGUCGCAAGACCAAAGAGGGGGACCUUCGGGCCUCUUGCCAUCGGAUGUGCCCAGAUGGGAUUAGCUWGUWGGUGGGGUAACGGCUCACCUAGGCGACGAUCCCUAGCUGGUCUGAGAGGAUGACCAGCCACACUGGAACUGAGACACGGUCCAGACUCCUACGGGAGGCAGCAGUGGGGAAUAUUGCACAAUGGGCGCAAGCCUGAUGCAGCCAUGCCGCGUGUAUGAAGAAGGCCUUCGGGUUGUAAAGUACUUUCAGCGGGGAGGAAGGGAGUAAAGUUAAUACCUUUGCUCAUUGACGUUACCCGCAGAAGAAGCACCGGCUAACUCCGUGCCAGCAGCCGCGGUAAUACGGAGGGUGCAAGCGUUAAUCGGAAUUACUGGGCGUAAAGCGCACGCAGGCGGUUUGUU